UACGUAGGGUGCAAGCGUUAAUCGGAAUUACUGGGCGUAAAGCGUGCGCAGGCGGUUGUGCAAGACCGAUGUGAAAUCCCCGGGCUUAACCUGAGAAUGGCAUUGGUGACUGUACGGCUAGAGUGUGUCAGAGGGGGGUAGAAUUCCACGUGUAGCAGUGAAACGCGUAGAGAUGUGGAGGAAUACCGAUGGCGAAGGCAGCCCCCUGGGAUGACACUGACGCUCAUGCACGAAAGCGUGGGGAGCAAACAGG
This 253-nucleotide ribosomal RNA is filed under the name uncultured bacterium. RNAcentral describes it as "partial 16S ribosomal RNA". It matches the Rfam family "Bacterial small subunit ribosomal RNA", at positions 524 to 776 of the family's 1533-position model. The record is from RNAcentral.